RNAcentral lists this ribosomal RNA (294 nucleotides) under uncultured bacterium. Its description in RNAcentral is "partial 16S ribosomal RNA". It matches the Rfam family "Bacterial small subunit ribosomal RNA", at positions 29 to 290 of the family's 1533-position model. The record is from RNAcentral.
AACGAACGCUGGCGGCGUGGCUAAGGCAUGCAAGUCGAACGGAUCUAUCCAACGGGUAACUGAAGGGUAGAUUAGUGGCGAACGGGUGAGGAAUACAUGGACAACGUACCCUGGACACGGGAGUAGCGGCGGGCCGGCAAGGCUCUUUAGUCGAAAGUAGCCGGUAACUACCCGACUGAUCCCGCCAUGGUCGCAUGAUCGUGUGGGCGAAAGCUCCGACGGUCUGGGAUCGGUUCAUGCCCUAUCAGCUAGUUGGUGAGGUAACGGCUCACCAAGGCGGCGACGGGUACCGGG